Molecule: ribosomal RNA, 251 nt
Filed under: uncultured prokaryote
Description: partial 16S ribosomal RNA
Rfam family: Bacterial small subunit ribosomal RNA
Source: RNAcentral
UACGGAGGAUGCAAGCGUUAUCCGGAUUCAUUGGGUUUAAAGGGUGCGUAGGCGGACUAUUAAGUCAGUGGUGAAAGCCUGCAGCUUAACUGCAGAACUGCCAUUGAUACUGAUAGUCUUGAGUUUGGUUAAGGUAGGCGGAAUGUGUAAUGUAGCGGUGAAAUGCUUAGAUAUUACACAGAACACCAAUUGCGUAGGCAGCUUACUGAGCCGACACUGACGCUGAGGCACGAAGGCGUGGGGAUCAAACA